GACAGAGGGGGCAAGCGUUGCUCGGAAUCACUGGGCGUAAAGCGCACGUAGGCGGAUUGUUAAGUCAGGGGUGAAAUCCUGGAGCUCAACUCCAGAACUGCCUUUGAUACUGGCGAUCUUGAGUCCGGGAGAGGUGAGUGGAACUGCGAGUGUAGAGGUGAAAUUCGUAGAUAUUCGCAAGAACACCAGUGGCGAAGGCGGCUCACUGGCCCGGUACUGACGCUGAGGUGCGAAAGCGUGGGGAGCAAACAGG
This 253-nucleotide ribosomal RNA is filed under the name uncultured bacterium. RNAcentral's name for it is "partial 16S ribosomal RNA". It matches the Rfam family "Bacterial small subunit ribosomal RNA", at positions 524 to 776 of the family's 1533-position model. The record is from RNAcentral.